This 999-nucleotide long non-coding RNA is filed under the name Marmota monax (woodchuck). The record is from RNAcentral. Lineage: Eukaryota; Metazoa; Chordata; Mammalia; Rodentia; Sciuridae.
GGGCCUUGGGUCUGACCCUGAUGACGGGUUUGGGAGAAGAACUUGGCAGCCCCAGACUCCCCAGAACCUUGGCCUAUGGAUGUCCCCAGCAGCAGUGAAGGACGAGCGCAUAGGACGGGGCUUGUGAGUCCCAGGGUGUUUACAUGGGGCAGAAGGGGCCCCCUCGCCUGUUUGGAAUUAAAGAUCUUUUCCUGUGCUUCAGGCAUGGAGCCGAGGGGCACUCCCCAGCUCCCACCCCGAGCCACCAUUUCCCUGGAGACAGACCGAUUCUGGAGAAGCUGCCGCAGACUGGGGUGGGUUUAGUGAGCCGGUCCUGCUAAGAGCACCCGCCUCUGCCGGUGACCUCCAGUGAAACCCCGCUCACGAGGACACCUCAUCUGUGUCUGGGCCUCAGCAGCCUGGCACCAGCUCCUCCCCCGGCCAGGCACCCAGGGAAGCCAUGCUGGUUUCCAGGGACCUCGACUCCGUGCCGCCCCAGUGACACAGAGAGUUCUGCCCUCUGUGCUGUCAACUUCCCAUCCAGAGCCGCCCGACGUCACCUGCUUCAGCCUGGCUGGAUUGGAGGCAGGGUUGGGGGGGCCCGAGCCUGUGCUGUUUCCUCUUCUUUGUUGGUAUGGAAUGGGGUGAGGGUCCAUGCCCUGGCUCCUGCCACCCCUUCCUGCAGCUCCCGCCUGCUCUCUUCUGGCUGCCACCAAAGCCCCAGGCUCCUGGGUGGUCAACUUGUUGGGAGUUGGUAUCUUAAGAGGCAUUUCACUGGGGGCCGAUGUGCUGGGCUCAUUACCCUUAAAUACCAGGGGCUGCUCUGGGAAGAGAAGAGGGUGUUUUGGAGGAAGCUGAGCUGACGUCUUCCCAGGGGAGACGAGGACACAGUGCGUGUGCCUCUACAGUGCAAUCUGCAGGGGCCCUACUGUCCGCUGGCACUGGGCCAGCUCUGGGUUACAGAGUGCUUGCCACAUGCAGAAUGUGCCCUGGAGCGAGGUCUAGCUGAGCCAAUGGUCA